GUGCUCGCUUUGGCAGCACAUAUGCUAAAACUGGAAUGAUACAGAGAAGAUUAGUAGGGCCCCUGUGCAUGGAUGACACACAAAUUUGUGAAAUGUUCCAUACUUAA
Erinaceus europaeus (western European hedgehog) is the source of this 107-nucleotide small nuclear RNA. The record is from Ensembl. Lineage: Eukaryota; Metazoa; Chordata; Mammalia; Eulipotyphla; Erinaceidae.